Molecule: long non-coding RNA, 2312 nt
Organism: Notolabrus celidotus (New Zealand spotty)
Lineage: Eukaryota; Metazoa; Chordata; Actinopteri; Labriformes; Labridae
Exons: 3
Source: RefSeq, a predicted model, not a curated record
UCAGGAACCGAUGGUUGUCACGGAUACUACGUCCAUCAUUUAUACAGUCUAUGCAAAAAGCCCGUUCGAUUUUGCACUAUUUGAGGACACAUCACAGACGUGCUCUUCCGCCUGCAGCGCACUGAUCAGCUGCUCAGGUCUGCAGCUUCAAAGUGACAAAACUUCAAACAAACUAAAUAAAGAGUGAUUCUGACCGCGCAGAUGUAAUGCCGUUUGCUACGGAUGCAUGUGGACAACUUUCUGGAGUUUACAGAGGAAAGGCAAUUAAUGCACUGGAUAAAAAAAGUGGAGACACUUCUGAGCUACAUUGGAGAGCCGGAGAUAUCCCAAGUUACCUGGUGGUGCAGGAAACCUGUGAUGUCAUGAUCGUGUGACCCCUUCCUCUACACCAUCACAAGCCCCCACAUGCCCAAUCCUAAUGUCCAAUCUAAAGCCUGAGUACUGAACCCUCAUCAACUUCAGUGAUGUCAGGUGUGCAGUGCAUGAGUCUGUGAGGACUUGAAAUGGUAUAACAAGGAGGACUGGGACAUGACAUCACACAGUGCCAGGAAACAAGAUGGGAUCUCCAGCAUACAUUUAUACAGAGGGAAUUAUGGGCUGUGAUCAGUUGGAGAGAGAGGGAGAGAGAGACGGAGGAUGCCCCGAUACAAGCCGAGGCGGCUAUCAGAGAAACUGUAAUUUCGAGCAUGCAUUAUUCAACGACGCAGUAAGAUCUGUGAAGCCUCCAGAUUAUUUACACUUUGAAAAGCACUGCCGGCGCAAUUGCAGGCAUGUCCUACAGAGCCCAGAGGUAAUAUCUCUGCAUUUGAGGAAAGAUACAAGUUUGGUAAAUUGGAGCAUGUACAUAUUUAUAAUAUUCCAGAGCUUUUCCAUCCUCAUUUGCUUAAACUGUUGACCAUGACUAAUAUAGAAAACGUCAAUUCGAUGGUAAAAUUAUUCUGAAGACAUUUUCCGACUCCACAUUCAAAAACCGGCUUGUUCAAUGUGUAUUUCAAGAUGACAGCAGUCAGUAUUGUUCCUUUGAAUGUGCUUGUUGGUUAUUUUUGCAGUCUGUGUCUGGGCCUUUUUUACAUUCAUUAUGGUAAUUAUUGGUGGCAGCCAGCGAUGACUCCUGCAUGCUGUGUGUCCACAGAGCCGACGUCACAAGAAGGGCAUGGCCCACGCACUGCACGGCAUGCAUUAACGUGCACUGUUGUCUUCCUGUGUGUGUGUGCGUGCGUUUAUUUGUGUCUAUGUGCCGCUGCUUACAGGCAUUCCCUACAAAUAUAACUCUCUGUCCUUCUAUUUCUAAUUCCUCCUCUCGCUCUUCUUCUCCUUUGUGCCUCUCUGUGCCUGGGUGCAGGGUGUGAUGCUCGGUGCUCAGUAGCUAUAAGCGUAAACAUCUCUCCAUCUCCACAUGAAGACAAACAGGGGGGCAUUAUCAGGCAGAGACGGACAGGCCCUGCAUUCAAUCUCAACUCUAAAAUAAAACCCCUGCCACCCCUUCAUUGACAUUCAUGAAGUGAAAUAGCAGCUUGGGAAGGAACAGGCGGUCUGUUUGCAGUCUUAUGCUUCUCAUUUGUUUAAUCAAACAUCACUGCAGAGGAUUUAUCACACUUUGUCACUCUGCUUGUUCCCGCCUCGUUUGAGCUGAUCCACGCUGGACCAUUCUAACUGCACCUGGUGACUCAAAAAAUUACAUUUCAAUAUGAGUCACAUGAAGACGGCUUACUUGAAGAAAUAGUUUGACAUUUUGCAAGGUAUGCUUAUUUGAGGCGGGUGAAAAGAUUAAUACAACUGUCAUAUGAGGCUUUGGAGGUCAGUUAGCUAAGCUUACCUUAGGUGAGCACAGAAACAGAGAUAACUAGCCUGGCUUUGUUACUCUAGUUUUAAAUAAAAGAGACAGCUAUAGGAAAGCUUUAUUCUAAUUCUGGCAACAGAUCAGAGCUUUUGGACUCGGGUACGCUAUGUAUGUUGACAAUUGAAUAACAUCAGGUUAUUGGCAAUAUUUCCUCUUCAUGCAAUCUCUCUCUCUUGGUUUUUGCACCUGCAUACAAAUGAAGAACACCCUUUUUAUGAUGACAAGAUCCUUCUCUGUAAGACAACAACCAAAACCUGUAUAAAACCUAAAAACACUCCCCAUGUGGUGAACCUCUUUUAGUAAAUUAAAUUUACUAAUCUCAUAUCAGGUUACAGUCAAUAUUUCUUCCAAUGUGAUCUAAUUUUCUCUGUCUUCCUCUUUUUGUCUCUCUCUGUCUCUAUCCCUCUUCUUAUGAAGUUGUUCUUGUGCCAGUAAAUAAAAUCUUCCUCUAAAAGCUCAACCCCUGAAACCA